CAUCUCACUCUCAUCUUUCUCGUCGAUCUUCUCAGCCCCAAGGUUCCCUUAACCAAAAAAGUUCUUUAUUUUCUUCACAUUUCCGCCAUUGUCUUUUUUCAUCGUUCCUCAACUUUUGAUUAUUUUGAUUUGUCAAUCAUGCAUUACAUACAUGCUCAUUACAUUGCUCUGCAAAAGAAAUUCACAUAAAGUUAUAUUUCCAUUUGUAAAUCUGAAAAACUAUUGUAGUUUCGCUGCAAAAUCUGAUUAUCAAUCAACAACCAUCUUCCAUAAAUCAACACAUCACAUUACCAUUAGAAGUCAGAAAAAGAAAGUAAUUACCUCAGUUAUGGGUUCCUUCAAAGCCUUCCGAGUGACCCGAAACCUAAUCCCCAACUUCUCAAGCUGUCUCGAUAAAACCCUAACAACCGUAGCGGAGCUCCUCAAAUCCUCCUCCAAUUUCUCAAUCCUCUCAAGCAAAUUCACCUCCAAACCAUCCUUCACCGUUUCCCUACAAACCCGACUCCAUUGGCGCCUCCGAAUCGACGCCCAACUCAAAACCCCAACCACCAACAUCAAAAUCCCCCAUAGAGCAGCUCUGUUGCUAAUUGCCGCCAAGACCUCCUUCUUCCAACACGCAAUCACGGCCACACCAGCCGAAGAAAGCAGGCACGACAAUUCGAGAAAAGAAAGGAGCGAGUCAAAAGCGGAAUCGCCGACGACAUGAUUAGGCACAGCAGCACCUUCGGAACGGAAGCGAAAGGGAACGACGUGGGUUGCGAAGGAGCUGAAUCUGUAGGGUGUGAAUGAUUUGAGGUUGAGAACACAAUCAUUGAUGAGCGUGGUUCAUUUGCUGUGACCAGCCCUUUUCCAGGCCCAUUGGGAGUCUUAUUAAAGUCAAUGAAAAAGUUUAUUCACAUGCUGCAGUUACCAAUACGGGUUGCUUUAUCCGGGGAAGUUCUUCCUCUUAAAGAAGAUAAGCUGGUUGUCUUGUCUCUCUAUAAAAAAGGCAAUUCUAGUUGUGAAGGGUUGUCUCUGCAUUCCUUAUAAGAAGGAAGUAAGCGAGAGAGAUCUAAUGAGAAUUGAGAUCUAUAUAUAAUCUACUCAAAGAAGAAGCGAUCGAUCCUUUUCUCAAAAAAAUUGGGUCAUUCUCAGAAUUCAAAAAAGAAAAGAGAGAAAGAGCUCUAGCUAGAUCACAUAACAUGGGGAGGCCACCUUGCUUUGACAAAAUUUGGAUUAAGAAAGGACCUUGGACUCCAGAGGAAGACAUCACCUUGGUCUCUUACAUUCAAGAACACGGACCAGGGAAUUGGAGAUCAGUUCCCAUCAAUACUGGUUUGAUGAGAUGCAGUAAAAGCUGCAGACUUAGAUGGACUAACUACCUUCGACCAGGUAUCAAACGAGGUAACUUCACUGAUCAUGAAGAGAAGAUGAUAAUCCACCAUUGCAUACAACAAGUAGUUCCCCCUUAAUGGCUAUUAAGUUUCUUUUUCUUUUUUCAUUUUUUAAUCAAAGUGACAAUUUCUUAACAGACUUUAUAUGCAAAACUUGAAUUUCUUUGAAAUUAUUGGGUUCUUAUUUCACUUUAUGGUUUCACUACUUAUAUAGCCUAUUCCUUUUAUUCUGUUAGUCGUUGUUUUGCUCAGUAUCUUAGAGUGAUUCACAUGAAUACAUAAUGUUUAGGCAUGUAUCCAUUUGGACAUUGGCAGGUACACUCUGAACAUAAUGUUUAGGCAUGUAUCCAUGUGUAGUGGAACAAGUAGCCAUUGUUUUAAUUUUUAACAUUAGUUUGAUCUACCUUGUGUCCUUUAUUAUGCUCAUACAGGUACAUUCAAAAUGCAUAAAUAUUUUAGUAAAUCAAGUAAAUAACUCUUAUAAGAAGCUAUUUUGUUCUAUUAACCUAUUUUGUUGAGCGGUAAUAUAAAAAAAUAGGCUUUAAUAUAAAUAAAUAUAAAUUACAAAUCUCUGGUAUUCUCUCUCUUCUUUUUACUUUAAUCCAUUAACCUAUUUUGUUCUAAAAAUAUAAACAUGACCUUCUAGAAAUAUAUAUAUAUAUAUGUUCAGAAUUUUUUUUAUGGUAUUAAGGAAAUUGAAGUUAAAGUAGAUGGGAAUGGUUAAAGACCAAGAUAGUUGGUUGUUUGUCAUUUAGUUAAUGAAUUGUUGACAUUUCUAUGACAUAUACGAUGCAAGUUACCUUGGUCUCUUGUGUGUGCAGUUUUUUUGUAUUAAAUGGAGAAAGAUAAUUGGUUGUUGAAUUGCUAAAGUCAAGAUAAAGUAGUAAAGCUACCACCUAAGCUUUUGUUGUCUUAAACUAUUGAAUGAAUGAAUUUUAAUUCCUUUUAGCUACAUGUCCAGCCGUAUGGUUGAUGGAGGAGUGACUAGGCUAAGAACCUAUAAUAUACCAUUAAGAGAUUUAAACGUCAAAUAAAGUAGACUACUUAAGUAACUAGUCAAAGCUUCCAAUUUAAGUCUCAAAAGAGAGAUAUUUUUGCCUAUAGAAGUCGGUUAUGUUAAGGUAGCAACGCACUACUUUCCAAGGUAGCAAAAUCCAUCUCCAAUUGUUUCUAAUGUAUCAAGAUUGGAGUCUUUUGACUCUGCACAUGAAAAGGAGCUAACUGUGGAUGACAUUGAAGACUUUGACGAUGAUACUGCUGCUGCAAUGGUCGAAAGUUUCAGGGCUAAAAGGACUCUAAAUGAUGCUUCUGAUCUUGCAGUGAAAUUGCCUUCUUUUUCCACAGGUGAUUAUUCUAGAAAACUUAUCUUCUGGAUAAGUUCUUUGCAUCCCCACAAAUCUUAUGCAGUCUAAAUAUUAUCAGAUGAAUAGUAUUUUGACUUGAAAUGUGUGGAAUAGUCAUGGAAAUGGGGAGACAUAUGCAUAAGAAACUUGAAUGAACGCAAUUGUGGUAAGGUAACCUCUUGUAUAUGAUGUCACUAUUUGCUGAUUGCUGAGUCACAGAAGUCAUUGCUAAGGUGGAAACCUGUAUCAUUAAGGGGCAUAGCAUUUCUAUGAUUGCCCUUGUGCCUUUGUAUGGGUAAAGGACAUGUCUUAACCAGAAAUUUCUCCCAUCUCAUCUUUUGUGGGACAGAGUAGUUUUCUUGGCUUCUAUGUGGUGUUUGCCCAUGGUUGUUUUAUGGGGUGUUUCUAUAAUGGAUAUCCACAGAGAUUGGAGAUCUCUUUUGCUAUGAUGGUUUUAUUUAUUUUUUGUAGCUCUAAUAGGAUUACUUAUCCUACUUCUUUGUAGUUCUAAUCUUUCACAGUUUUACAUAAUGAUUUCUUCUUUUAUAGAAAAAUAAUAAGAUAUAACUUUUGGAUGAUUUAUGCAUCAAAUUUGUAUUGAAAGGUUUAAACUGAAGCUUUCAUGAACCUUCCUAAUUUGUGGUUUUACUUGAAGGCGUCACAGAUAAUGAUCUCCGUGAAACUGCAUAUGAGAUCCUCUUGGCUUGUGCUGGAGCCACAGGGUAUGCUAUCAUGAUGUGUUUAAUUUUAGGGGAUCUCUUUUCCUUGUAAAAGAUUUAUAAGUGGAUUCUUUUUAAAUGUGAAAUCUUUGAUCUGUUUCUUGUUUAAGAGGGGUCUAAUUAUCCCAUCUAAAGAAAAAAAGAAAGAUAAAAAAUCCAGCUUGCUUAAGAAGCUUGGGCGCAGCAAAAUUGGAAGUGUUGUAUCCCAGUCUCAGAAUGCUCCUGGAUUAGUUGGCUUGUUGGAAACCAUGCGUGUGCAAAUGGAGGUAUACAAGGGGCUCAGGUUCCAUUUACUUAUGCUUUGAUUCUUUGGUCCUUUCCCUGAUCUUUUCCGCCGUUAUGUUUUUAUUUUUGCAAUGUAGCUUGGUAUACUAUUCUAAUGUGCAAGGACCAUUGUUUUCUCUAUAUGAAUAUUAUAUUAGUAAAAUAAUUAUAAUACUGUGGCUUCCCCUUUCCUGACGGAGGUGGUUCAGAAGCUGGGUUGGUAUUUUUUAAGAUGGACUCUGGAGCCUUGUCUGUUAUUGUUAUAAUAAAUUAAGUAGCUAGUUUAUUUAAUAUUAUCAUGUAUUUGGAUCAAUUAAGUUUUAAUGGUGAGACAUUUUACAUUU
This is a long non-coding RNA of Gastrolobium bilobum, 4043 nucleotides long. RefSeq lists it as uncharacterized. NCBI's taxonomy places the organism in Eukaryota, Viridiplantae, Streptophyta, Magnoliopsida, Fabales, Fabaceae. The record is from RefSeq and is a predicted model, not a curated record. The transcript has 4 exons.